CUGCGUAGGAUCAUUG
Molecule: ribosomal RNA, 16 nt
Filed under: Thuja plicata (western redcedar)
Lineage: Eukaryota; Viridiplantae; Streptophyta; Pinopsida; Cupressales; Cupressaceae
Description: partial 18S ribosomal RNA
Source: RNAcentral